Molecule: long non-coding RNA, 768 nt
Filed under: Castor canadensis (American beaver)
Lineage: Eukaryota; Metazoa; Chordata; Mammalia; Rodentia; Castoridae
Description: lncRNA (ENSCCNG00000010088.1)
Source: RNAcentral
UCCAGCAGUCACCUAAUCACCCCCCACACUCUGUCCUUGUCUAUACAGCUUCCUAAUGAUGUGCCUCUAACUCUUUCUAGCUUUUAGAGAAUCUGAGAGGAGUUCUAAGUACAAUUCUAUCUGGAGAACCAUCAAACGGUCCAGAGGUUGACGGCACAAUCUCCGCAGAUCCAAAAUAAAUGGACAGAGUCCAGAGGCAUUAAAUUUAUGAUCAGUUGAUAUUCAGAAACCAAAGAAUGUGGAAAUGAGUAAAAUUGGGUGACCUUCAAAAAGGAAGGAAGGACUUCAUUUGGUUCCCCAGAAGGGCGCUGAUUGAAGGAGACGAUGUUUCCAGUUUUAUCAUGCCUGCUGACUCAAGCCUAGCCAAAUAUGAUGGCAUUGAAAAGACCGCAGCACAGCAAUAUUAUGAUAAAGAAGUCAGGUGACAUUUUCCAUCACUGUGUUGUGCAAUGCUGUAAGACUAACUAUUCCAAGAUUGCACAGAAAAUGAGAAAUUCCCAUGGAAACUCUGUCCUGGCAAUUCAAAAGGCCGUACAGCACUGGUGGGUUCCUUCUGUACUUCCUGGUAUGGUCUUUAUGGUUCAGUAGAAAGAACAUGGUCUCUGAAGUCAGAUUUGUGCCCAAACCCAACCCUACAUGGGCUAUGGAGAGCUUACUGAACCUCCACAAGCCUCUUUCCCUAUCUUAAAUGGAUCUCCUUACCCAAAUUUUCCAGUUCUCUGUGUUUUCUCAGACAAUUCUUAUAAGGAAUACCAAGAGUCAUAUAUG